This 303-nucleotide ribosomal RNA is filed under the name uncultured bacterium. RNAcentral's name for it is "partial 16S ribosomal RNA". It matches the Rfam family "Bacterial small subunit ribosomal RNA", at positions 507 to 808 of the family's 1533-position model. The record is from RNAcentral.
AGCAGUAGCCGCGGUAAUACGGGGGGGGCAAGUGUUAUUCGGAAUGACUGGGCGUAAAGGGCACGUAGGCGGUGAAAAGGGUGGAAAGUGAAAGUCGCCAAAACACUGGCGGGGUGCUUUCUUGACCAUUUCACUUGAGUGAGAUAGGGGAGAGUGGAAUUUCGUGUGGAGGGAUCAAAUCCUAAGAUAUACGAAGGAACGCCAACCGCGAAGGCAGCUCUCUGGGUCCCCACUGACGCUGGGGUGCGAAAGCAUGGGGAGCAAACAGGAUCAGAUACCCCCGUAGUCCCUGUCUCUUAUACA